RNAcentral lists this long non-coding RNA (536 nucleotides) under Panax ginseng (ginseng). RNAcentral's name for it is "long non-coding RNA (PGIN_LNC006071)". The record is from RNAcentral. Lineage: Eukaryota; Viridiplantae; Streptophyta; Magnoliopsida; Apiales; Araliaceae.
GUUGUUUUAGACCAAGUGUUGAACUUAUGAUCCAUAUGAGGGAAGAUCUACAUGAUAUAUGAUAUUUUAUGGUUAGAUCUUGCCAUUUUUAGGGUUGAUAAGCUUGAACAAAGAAGAUGAACCAAAACAGUUUUUUGUUUUAAAUGAAUUAGUGAACUGCUGCUCUAAACAGAAAAUUUCGGAUUUGUUAAGGUGCUCUAAAAAUUCUGGACUUGUGAUAUGUUAUAGUACACUCAAUAAGCUUUCCAUAGACUCCGAAACGGACUAAAUCCGACAUCGGAGGAGCAAGUUAUGGAAGUUUUACCAAACUACACAAAGUUAAGAAAAACUGUUAGAAGGACAGUUUGUAACAGCCACUUCCGGGCUAAAUUCCUGGAGCUUAACAUAUCCAAAUAUGGAUUGUGAUAUAUGAAAACUAUAGUUUGGAAAGAUACGAAUCCAACAAAAUUGACGGAUCAUUAUUCGGAGUUACAGAUUUCGUUUUAUUUAAGUUUUGGUGAAGGACUCCAAAACUGCCAAAGUGCAAAAAGUUUCUG